RNAcentral lists this long non-coding RNA (639 nucleotides) under Homo sapiens (human). RNAcentral describes it as "T cell receptor gamma locus antisense RNA 1". Lineage: Eukaryota; Metazoa; Chordata; Mammalia; Primates; Hominidae. The record is from RNAcentral.
GGAGGCAACUGCCCAAGGCCACUCUGAGGAGGGUUGAAUGUUCUUUAUUAAAAGGACUGAGGAUCAUGUGUGUUGGUGGGCCUUGGACUCUGCUCUAAGACACAUGGAGGCAACCACUCAAGGCCACUCUGAGAAGGGUUGAACGUGCUUUAAAUUAAAAGGACUGAGGAUCAUGUGUGUUGGUGUGUCUUGGACUCUGCUCUAAGACUCAUGGAGGCAACCACUCAAGGUCACUCUGAGAAGGGUUGAACGUGCUUUAUUAAAAGGACUGAGGAUCAUGUGUGUUGGUGUGUCCCGGAGUCUGCUCUAAGACUCAUGGAGGCAACCACUCAAGGCCACUCUGAGAAGGGUUGAACGUGCUUUAAAUUAAAAGGACUGAGGAUCAUGUGUGUUGGUGUGUCCUGGACUCUGCUCUAAGGCCCUGUGGCUGCCUGGUGCCCUGGGAAUGGUCCGGUCAUGGGCCUCAGCCCAGGAUGAGCAGCCAACAAUGCAAUCCCACGAAGAGUGUGCGGAAGGGAGAGGUUACUUCUCAAGAUGGAGCUGCCAAAUAGGGACACUUUGGAGAGUCUGGCCUGAGAACUUUUAGUUUCAAGAAUGUAUUGCUUUGGAAAAGACAGAAUAAAAGUCCAAGCACUGCCA